This 74-nucleotide transfer RNA is filed under the name Candidatus Methanophagales archaeon. Its description in RNAcentral is "tRNA-Lys". It matches the Rfam family "tRNA". From Rfam's summary of the family: Transfer RNA (tRNA) molecules are approximately 80 nucleotides in length. Lineage: Archaea; Methanobacteriati; Methanobacteriota; Methanomicrobia; Candidatus Methanophagales. RNAcentral also lists the same sequence under 4 other names. The record is from RNAcentral.
GGGCUCGUAGCUCAGAAAGGUAGAGCAGCGGGCUUUUAACCCGUCGGUCACGGGUUCAAAUCCCGUCGAGCUCG